GCAUCAAAUGAUGAGACCUUAUUACUUUUUCUGGUACCUCUUAUGUUAGGGCUCCUCUGAAGCAAUUCGGAGGACGCCCCAUGAAUUCAUCGGACUUCUGACA
This 103-nucleotide small nucleolar RNA is filed under the name Ophiostoma piceae UAMH 11346. Its description in RNAcentral is "A. fumigatus snoRNA Afu_264". It matches the Rfam family "A. fumigatus snoRNA Afu_264". Lineage: Eukaryota; Fungi; Ascomycota; Sordariomycetes; Ophiostomatales; Ophiostomataceae. The record is from Rfam by way of RNAcentral.